Molecule: long non-coding RNA, 265 nt
Filed under: Physcomitrium patens
Lineage: Eukaryota; Viridiplantae; Streptophyta; Bryopsida; Funariales; Funariaceae
Description: long non-coding RNA (PPAT_LNC005883)
Source: RNAcentral
AAGUAAUAGGUUUCCCUAAAGAUUGUCUUUUUUCUUAUCUAUUAUGAUUUUUGUGAUUCAGCCUUGUAUAACAAUAUUGCUAAAGAAUUAAAAGGAAUUGUGCUCCCUAGUUUGGAAAUUACAAGUAGAAGUGUAGAAAUUGAAGGAUGAUUCCACUUAUCUAUAGCUUAUAUAAAAUUUAGAUAGGCAUUUAUCUUCCACUAUAUGCACCACAUUUAGAUAAAGAUAAUAUUUUAUUUGUGAAUACAAGAUUACAUAACUAUUA